Long non-coding RNA from Populus nigra (black poplar), 1006 nucleotides. RefSeq lists it as uncharacterized. Lineage: Eukaryota; Viridiplantae; Streptophyta; Magnoliopsida; Malpighiales; Salicaceae. The transcript has 2 exons. The record is from RefSeq and is a predicted model, not a curated record.
GGUAGAUUUCAUUUAAUUCGUCCUGCGAAUUUUUGCCCAUGCUAUAUAUAGCUUCUUCCUGCACAGGUUCUCAGAAAUUUAUAACUAGAAAUCAAGUCAUAUUGACAGAUCGUUUCUUGAUCCUCCAGCAUCAACCCUUCCCUUCUUUAUGCUAUUGCUUCCUCUUUUUCCCUUAAAAACAAAAGGAAACUUGUUCACAUGAUCUUGUGAAAUCUUCUCCACCACACACACAAAAUCCCUAUAAAAAAAAAGUGGAGAGAGGGAAAGGGACGUACACACAAAAGAAGAGAGCCCACAAUCGUUCAAAACGAAUAAUAUUAAUUUCAUCGUCGUUUCGAAGGAAGAAAAGCUGCACUGAUGGAGAGAACUUUGUCUCCUAGAAAUAUAGAAGAAGAAGGGCCGCUGUCAUGUUGGGGUCGUCUCAAGUACCUGAAGUUUCCAUGGACUAAAAGAAGAAUAACCAGCAACACCACAACGUCUCCAGGACAGAAGAGAAGUGCUAUAGGUUGCAAUUUAACAGCAACUCUCACGAGAAACAAUAGAAAACCAAAAGUCCCAGCUGGAGGACGUUUUAGGUACUCCCCCUUAAGCUAUGCUCAAAAUUUUGACGAUGGUAGCUGGGACAAUGAUGAUAUCGAGGAUGAUGAAUAUCCCGGGUUCUCUUCAAGGUUUGCUCCACCUCCAUCAAGAUCACUUGAAGAAGAUAAAAGACAGAGCGCUGGUUGACAGAAUUUCUUCCGAGAAAGUUGGUGUACUGACUAAGCUUAGGUUAAUGGCUGAAGUUGAAUUCGAACUCUGGGAUGGGCCCGUCCUCACCAAAUUGAUCCUGUAAAGACCAAGAAAGAGAGGAAUCCCGACUGUUCUCCUAUGCAAAGUCUACCUCGGACCCGUUAAUUAGUCGUUGCGCUGCUUGGCCUAAUUUGAGAUUUUAGAAGGAACUUGGAAAAGGUGGAGUCAUGUAUCCGUCUGUUGCCUGGCUGCAGUUUUAAUACAAAAUCUUCAACUA